Molecule: long non-coding RNA, 541 nt
Filed under: Elaeis guineensis (African oil palm)
Lineage: Eukaryota; Viridiplantae; Streptophyta; Magnoliopsida; Arecales; Arecaceae
Description: long non-coding RNA (EGUI_LNC005665)
Source: RNAcentral
ACAGAGACAGGGCGCGGUCCACAGGAAUAGUUACAUGAUCCACAGGUGCGGAUCACAGCGAGAGAAAGAUCUUGGGCACGAUCCAACGACUGAUAUUUAAUCUGAAGUUCGAUCCAACGGCUGCUGUUCGUUGUCGGUUUAUAAGAGGGGUUUUUGCACGAUUCGACGGUCCAAAACGAUCUAUCACGUGAUCCAACGGCUAUUAUCGCUUUCGAUUUUGAUAAGGAGUUAAACUGCGCGAUCCGACGGUCCAGAACUAAUCCCAAGCACGAUCGGAUGGCUGUGGUUUGAUCCGACUUUGAUAAGGAUUAAAAUGAUUAAUUUUUUAUCAGAUCUGAGCUGUCCAAGCUCCAUCCGACGGCCAGAAAUAUUCCUAAGGGGAUUAAUAUAAUUUCUAAGGAUUUUAGGAUUCCUUUUCCUACUAAAAAAUUAUAAAAAAUUUAUCUAUAAAUAGGAGAUCCGGGAAUAAGUUUUGAGAGCAAAAAAAAUUGAGUAGAAAGUAUAAAAAAAUAGAAAAAAAUUAAAUAGCUUUAGGGACCCA